RNAcentral lists this small RNA (319 nucleotides) under Histoplasma ohiense. RNAcentral describes it as "hypothetical lncRNA". Lineage: Eukaryota; Fungi; Ascomycota; Eurotiomycetes; Onygenales; Ajellomycetaceae. The record is from RNAcentral.
ACAGUUACCGAAAGCAGGUGGUGGUGGACGACAAGGUCGCUCUCGUGGAAAUGCUGGAAUUCAAAUACGACGAUGCGAGAGGGUAUCUCGCGUUGUUGGACCAAAUUUUCCGAGACAGCGACGCCAUCAUCUUAGCGUUCGAUGUCACCGCGCGGGAGGAGCUUGAUUUGAUCAUGCAAAAUCAUGCAAUAUUCCUUAAUUUUAUGCGUCGUGAAUCUACUCCACGGACCUGUUCGAUCCCUGUGGGACUGAUCGAUAAGGACGCAUCGGAAGAAAUUUGCCAAAAGACGAGUUUGCAGACACCCCUAACAUUUACCUG